CCCCUAGAUGUUCUGGGCCGCACGCGCGCUACACUGAACAGUUCAACAAGUCUUAACCUUGGCCGAUAGGUCUGGGUAAUCUUUGAACGCUGUUCGUGAUUGGGAUAGACCUUUGCAAUUAUGGGUCUUCAACGAGGAAUUCCUAGUAAACGCAAGUCAUCAACUUGCAUUGAUUACGUCCCUGCCCUUUGUACACACCGCCCGUCGCACCUACCGAUUGAAUGGUCCGGUGAAUAAUUCGGACUGCAGCACUGCUUGGUCUCCAGGCUUUGCAGCGGAAAGUUUAGUGAACCUUAUCACUUAGAGGAAGGAGAAGUCGUAACA
This 324-nucleotide ribosomal RNA is filed under the name uncultured eukaryote. Its description in RNAcentral is "partial 18S ribosomal RNA". It matches the Rfam family "Eukaryotic small subunit ribosomal RNA", at positions 1470 to 1796 of the family's 1831-position model. The record is from RNAcentral.